This 1237-nucleotide ribosomal RNA is filed under the name Cortinarius caeruleoeburneus. RNAcentral describes it as "eukaryotic LSU rRNA". The stretch from base 604 to 1237 matches the Rfam family "Eukaryotic large subunit ribosomal RNA", at positions 1 to 626 of the family's 3401-position model. Lineage: Eukaryota; Fungi; Basidiomycota; Agaricomycetes; Agaricales; Cortinariaceae. The record is from RNAcentral.
GGUUUCCGUAGGUGAACCUGCGGAAGGAUCAUUAUUGAAAUAAAUCUGAUAGGUUGCUGCUGGCUCUCUAGGGGGCAUGUGCACGCUUGUCAUCUUUAUAUCUCCACCUGUGCACCUUUUGUAGACCUGGAUAGGUUUGAGGAUUGACUUCUUGUCUUUCCUGGUCUAUGUUUCUUCAAUAUACCCCAAUGUAUGUUAUAGAAUGUAAUAAUUGGGCCUUUGUGCCUAUAUAAACCUUAUACAACUUUCAGCAACGGAUCUCUUGGCUCUCGCAUCGAUGAAGAACGCAGCGAAAUGCGAUAAGUAAUGUGAAUUGCAGAAUUCAGUGAAUCAUCGAAUCUUUGAACGCACCUUGCGCUCCUUGGUAUUCCGAGGAGCAUGCCUGUUUGAGUGUCAUUAAUAUAUCAACCUCCUCAAGCUUUUGCUUGUUGAGUGUUGGAUGUGGGGUCUUUGCUGGCCUCUUCUUCUGAGGUCAGCUCCCCUGAAAUGCAUUAGCGAAACAAUUUGUUGACCGUUCAUUGGUGUGAUAACUAUCUACGCUAUUGACGGUGAGGCAAGUUCUGCUUCUAACAGUCCAUUGACUUGGACAAAUUUUCAUUAAUGUGACCUCAAAUCAGGUAGGACUACCCGCUGAACUUAAGCAUAUCAAUAAGCGGAGGAAAAGAAACUAACAAGGAUUCCCCUAGUAACUGCGAGUGAAGCGGGAAAAGCUCAAAUUUAAAAUCUGGCAGUCUUUGGCUGUCCGAGUUGUAAUCUAGAGAAGUGUUAUCCGCGCUGGACCGUGUACAAGUCUCCUGGAAUGGAGCGUCAUAGAGGGUGAGAAUCCCGUCUUUGACACGGACUACCAGAGCUUUGUGAUGCGCUCUCAAAGAGUCGAGUUGUUUGGGAAUGCAGCUCAAAAUGGGUGGUAAAUUCCAUCUAAAGCUAAAUAUUGGCGAGAGACCGAUAGCGAACAAGUACCGUGAGGGAAAGAUGAAAAGAACUUUGGAAAGAGAGUUAAACAGUACGUGAAAUUGCUGAAAGGGAAACGCUUGAAGUCAGUCGCGUUGUCCAGGGAUCAACCUUGCUUUUGCUUGGUGCACUUUCUGGUUAACGGGUCAGCAUCAAUUUUGACUGUUGGAAAAAGAUUAAGGGAAUGUGGCAUCUUAAGAUGUGUUAUAGCCCUUGGUUGUAUACAAUGGUUGGGAUUGAGGAACUCARCACGCCGAAAGGCCGGGUUUUUAACCAUCGUACGUGC